GGUUGCUAUGGUGGGAGCCCCGCGUGGCAACGCCCCACACCCGUCCACCCCACCCGGCUCCGUGCGCAUGCGCCUUUUUGCCUGCACAGGGGUGGGGGGGAGCCCCCCCCACACCCCUUCCCCACCUGGCUGAUGGGGGUCUGUUGGAGGGACCAGAUGUGCCCAGAUUGUGGGUCUGCUGAUCUUUGAGCACUGAGAAGCAGUGGCACACAGCUGAGAACCAGGUGUCAAGAAUGAAAAGAAAGGUUCUGGAAAGCCUUGGUUAUUGGAGUCCCAGGGAAGAGCAGUGGGAUGAGUAUGACCUGCACGGGAAGCUCACGGCAGGAGUACGUGUUGGAGAAGUCCUGGUCCAGGGAAGGUGAGGAGCCAGCGUGUAGCACUGUCCAAGGCAGACAGCCCACCUGAAGAGGAUAUGAAGAGUGUGCCCUGGGCCUAAGAAAUGACUCCUAACCGGCAGGCUUACUUAGUGAAGCGCAUUGGAAGUUCAUGGCUUUUGGAGCUGGGUGCUGACCUUGUCAUGGGGCAGCAGGUGAGGAGUAACUUUGACACUGCGACAUCAGGGGGCUGAUGAUCUGGAAGGCUGCAGUUUUGGGUUGCUAUAGACCUGGAGACUGCAUCACCUGGUGCAAAGAGUUGGUGCGCAGGCCCCGUCACCGUGGCCAGAGGCAGGCAGUAGUAGAGGGAGGUGAAGCCAGGGCUUUCUGCCCUGUGAUAAAUGAGUUGUAAUGCAAUGAUUUUUGCAUUCCAGGGUGUUUCUGUUGUGUUUCUGUAUGCAUCAGUGGAUAUGAAGAUUGUUCUAAAUCUUCCAAAGUCUGAGGAGCCUGAGAAAAACAGGCAGAUGGUUUGAUUUGUAGCAGGAAAGAAAAAAAGUGGAGAAAAUGUUAACUGUUAGAAAUUUAAUUCCGUCCCUCAACUCCAAUAAAACUCUUUGGGGUAAUAUGCAGAAGGUGUAGGUUUGGAAGGAAAGGAAUCUACCUUUGUGGGUAUCCUGGGACAUCUGUGAACUUGACAGCUGAAAUGGAUGGAGCCAAGCAGGAACAGUGCUGAACUUUGGGUCAGGAGAUGUGCCAGGCCAGAUGGGAAGGAAGCUUGGAAAGAGCAGAUGGCUCCCUAGCUUUUAUAUCUGCUGGUAGCCCCCAGUGCACAUGUAUUUCUGGAGGUAUAUCCCUGAGGCAUCCAGAACAGUCAAGGAGAUACUCCCCAGAUGAAGCAGAACUGGCUUUGCUUCCUUCCUCAGCUCUGUCUCAGACACUGGCUGGAUGUGACCUGUCAUCAUCUGGGGAACUUCCAGGCUAGGCCUCUGCCUUUGGCAAAGUGUAUAUGGCAAAUGGAUGAUAAAAACCUACUAUUUAAGGAUGUGGGGGUGGUGGGGGUGGUGAAGGCCACCCUUCUAUAAGUCAGGGCCUUUGACUAAACAUUCAGUGGGUUCUUGCAGUGGUGAUUAGUAGAGUAGUGCUUUGUCAUCCUCACUGGCUUGCCGUGGGACAUGCUAUUGAAGCAUCCUCAUGCCUGGAAUUCUGCUGUAGGAUAAUUGUGUGGGUCUUAUGUUCCCUUGUUUUCCCACAGGUGUCAAGGAGAGACUUGGAAAAUGUUGCCCUUGGCACAGCUGCAGACAGGACUGUGGUGGUGGGGGUUUGUGAGCAAUGUGGUCUCGCCCAUGACCCCAGAUGGCUUUACAGAAUCUGGCAUCUCCUUGCACUACCUCCCCUCCUGUGCCCGGUUCAUCUUCACUCCUCCGUACUUGGCAUUGGGGAUGUUGUGUUGCAAAGAUACCUCGCUGGAGAACAUUUCUGCAUUUCCUCACAGUUAUGCCCCAAGUCAAGGUGUGCCUGGCUACCAGACCAGCUCCAUGUUUCCUGGGUUGUGUUUACUGCUGCAGACCCAUUGCUGCCUUCUAGCCUUGCUUCAUGUCACAUGCUUUGCCGUGGGCUUGCAGCUCCAUAUAAAUAACAAGCCUCCCUGCUGUCCGUCAGGUGGGCUUGCUCAGCCUGAUCCCAGCUGAGGAGAUGCCCUGAGCUUGGCUGAGCCACAGGGCUUACACAUCAUGGCGUGCCUGGCCGCUUGCAACAUGGGGGAGGGUUGCCUGGUUGUUGGGGUGGGCAGGAAAGGAAAGAAAGCAAUUUCCUGGCCAAGAUGUGAACUUUUUAGAGAAAAGAUACAUAUGUGGGUUUUUUGGAAGGGGGGAUGACAAACUGGCAUCAGUGAGAUGCUUGGGCAGUAGAGUUCUAAGGAGCACUCCCUUGUCAUGUCGCCAGAGGCAGGGUAGGAUUGGUGCCUGAGCACCGAGGGGAACAGAGUUGAGGCAGGGACUGAACUGGGAGGGUGGCCAAUGUGUUUUCAUGGCUUGGGAAAGAGAGGAAAAGGAGGGACUUGCCAGCUUGUGUUGAACAGGUGUACCUGGAAGCAAAUGUGAGGUGUCUGCGAAGUUUUAUAGGACUGGCCUGGUCCUAUAGGUCUCACAGAGAAGCCAAAGAGUAAAGGGGAUGAAAUACAUGUGUGGUUCUGUACACACCCUCGCCCAUUCUCUUUUUGUCUACUGGAAGUGGAGUACUCCUGCAUACAAAGCACAGAGCUUGUGGUAGUCACUAACUUUGUUUCCAGGGGCUUGGCACAUUUUGCUGACUGUCACAAGGACAGUGGUUAGAUCUGGACAAUGUUCAUGAAGGGCUUUGUUGUCCUUUGCGGGGUAACUCUUCAGAAUACUUUAUCCCCCCUUGGAAGUUAUCACUGUUGGUGCCUGUGCUUUUUUAUGUUGUUUUGCUGCAUAAUCACUGGCAUUGCCUGCCUCUGAGUGCUCAAUAUAUUACACAGCCGCAAUUUAAUUUUUCCCUUUUAAAACUUCCACUGAGAGAAUUGGUAUGGUUGGUGACCCAGGCAGGUACCCGGCUGUGUCAAUCUUCACAGGAUGACUUCUCUACAAAAUAGGCAAAAUUGUAAUUACAGCUAAAGUCUCGUAUUUCUUCUGUUUAAUUGUGUACGGCUGGCAGCAAGGAUGUCAAUGAAAAAGCAGUGUGAUGUUCUUUUUAGAUUUAUAUUGAUGGGAAUAGACACAUGGGGAGAAAUACAUGAGAACUGCUUCCAGUCUAGAAGCAGCAGCUGCAGAAACAAGUGUUCCUUGUUUAUCAAGACCAUGGUAUGCACAAGGCUGGGAUUCAGCAGCUGGCUCCCAGGUCUCAGCCCCACUAAUGUGUGCUUGAGAGCCCGAGGUAAAUCAUCUGUUUUCUUUCUCCCCUUUCUCUCCAUUCGCUUGUACUGGGAGCUCCCUGAGCCAAGGAUUGUCUCAUGAAGUUGCAAGCUAGCCAGCUACCCUCAUCCUAUGGGCAAUGUCCCCCAGUGCCCAUGGGGCCUGGGACUCCUCUCUGAUCCUGAGAUGAACUGUUGGUUUACUUCUGCUUGGGUUUUUGGUUUUUGUUUUUUUUUCUUUCUUUCUUUCAGGAAUCUCUAAUCUCAGCUCUUUGAUGACUCUUAGAGUAGCAGAACACUUUAACCACUUACACCAUGACCUUCCCAACAGAGGAUGGCUUCUUGUGGGGACUGGUUGGGCUGUUCUCUUGAGUGUGAGUGAGAGGGUUUUUGGAGAAAGCUGCUUUCAUGUGAGGUCAGGGUCAGAGAGGAUUGCAGAGGCAAGUACUCUGUCUUCAGUGGGAUCACCCCUGCUUGCCACAGGCUUCCAGUCAUCUCACCCCAGCACUGAGUCACAUGAGACUGAGCUGGUUAGGCCCAGGCAGGGAAGGGAGAAUCAGACCUGGAGGCAUGUCCAGACCCUGGCUGAUCCUUAGGCUGGAGUCAGGAGGGGAGCAGAACAGCGACAUCCCAGAGGUCCCUCAUAUUUCCUUUUUCUUAUUGCUGCUCUCUCAGCCUCCUUUGUUCAGUGGAUUCCCUGCAAACCCCAGCUUCUGCCUUGUGCAAAGGGCUGGGCUUCCCCUGGUACUGUUCCUCUCAUGGUGAGAACCUUCUGUGCUCUUUCUUUCCCGUACCCUCUGCUAGGAGAUGUCCGGUUACACAGACACUGUGUCGUAAGGACAGCCUCUUGGUUUAAUUCACUGAUCAUCCAUGUUGUUCCAUCUGCCCUUGACAUGAUGUUCCCUCCACAUGUUGGCUGUGGAAACUCCCUUAGAAGGUCCCUGGUGUUGCUCAUGAUGAAGCAGAUGAGGUUUCUAAGCAGCCUAACUUGUCUCUUAAUGGACUUGUAGAAGCAGAUGUUAGAACCCCUGGAUUUCAGGCAGCUGAGGUACCAUGUAGAUGUUCUCUGCAUCUUUUCUGCUGUAAUCUGUAUCAUGGUAAGAGGUCUGCAGCCUUCCUUUUCUCUGCUAAGUCAGCCUGAAAACUGGCAUUCACAGUACGAAAGGUGAGACACUUUUAGUCUUUCUUGUGGUGCUGGAAACUAGGGCGCUAGUAAGUGCCUUCAUCUGGCAGUGGGGAGAGGAUGUCCUGGUUCUGACCUAAGUUAGAAUCACCCCUUUUCCUUGUGCAAGUCUGUAUAAGCACAGGGGUGAAAUAUGCCCAAAACUGAGACUGCUGGGAUGACCUUGACAUUUUGGACUUUUACAGCCAAAAUCCUUGGGUGGGUGGGUGGUGGGUGUGUGUGCGCAAAAGAGCCUGCAUUCCUGACAUUAUUAAAGUUAACAUUGUUAAUUAUGUGUGAGGGUAGAUUACUGUGUGGCAUGCAAGAAGUCAUUAAUGUUAAUCAAACAGCAGUACAAGAAAUAUCCUUUUUCUUUAUUAACAAUGACCUCCUGGAGGGAAUUUUCCCCUAGUGUUGAAAGGAAAUAUGCUGAGGGAAGAAAUAAAUAAAUAACAAAGCAAUUAAAUGAGAGGUAUUAAAGCAUGUUUUCGAUCUCCCUUUUCCGAUUCUGGGCCUUGAUUCAAAUCUCAUUCAACGUAUUCAGCUAUGUUGUGUAUUCUCGAGGAAAAACCUUGCUUGUGCUGGUUUUGCAAGCCAUCAGUUGUACUAGAAGGUCAAUUAAUAGCCAUAUUGACAGCUCCCCAAAUUCACAGUUUACUUCUCCAGGAAAGAUCUGAUCUUCAAGAAAGAUGCGGAAAGAUCAUACAGCACAGGUCUUCACCCAAUGCAAGCUGACUUCAGUCCAGUGAACUCCAAGUGGUUGGUGGUGUUGUGGUGAACUGAACUCCUUGCUUGUGUCUGCAGAUGCUGUACCAGCAUUGGAGAAGGAAGCGGCUCUUGCCACUCAGAGCUUCAAAUUACCAUGUAACAUAAGCAGUGAUGCCUAGGCAGAGGGACACACUGGCAAGCAGCAGAAAGGCAGGGCUUUAAUGCACUACCUUCCUGUCCAACUGCUUUAUUUUUUUUCUCAUUGAAGUAAAACUUUAUCCUGGAAUUUGAAGGAAAAAGAGAAGGUGGUUUUGGGAGUAGUUUAGAUGAAUACUUUUGGAGGAGAAUUGAAUUUUUCCUUGGGAAGCCAACAAAUGGUUCAGGAGACAUGUCCUCAUCUUUGAAAGUGUGGGAUAGCUGAAGUGUUAGUCCUGCUUCUGCUGUUUGCAUGAAGAAAGCAUCACCCCCCUGACAGAAUGACAUUGGUUGGUUGCCUGUAUAUUUUCAAGCCCAGAACUGGAGUGCUGGCCUGUAAACACUUCAGGCUUCUUGCUUUGUACAAACUCUGCAUAGUGGGACUGUGCUUGCUUUGCUCAGCUCAGUGGUACUUCUAGGUGGAUAAAGCUGCUUGAUGCUGAAGUGGCCGUGGCAUACUUGUAAUGACUGCCUUAGGGCAUGCUCAGUUGCUCUCUAUUUUCCUAGGGAGGUACAGCCAUGGUAAGUAAAUAAGGCCUUUCUGUUGUUGAGUGAUUUCCUACUAGGUAAAAAACUGUUCAGCUGGAGUCCUGAAGUUUAACGACCAGAAUCUAAGUGCCCGGUGGAAUUCUUUGACCUGAUAGGAAAUGAUGGAGAAUAACUGGAAGGAAAACAUCAAGUGUCAGUGUGGUUGGUUAAUUCCACAUCCAGCUGCCUAACUUCUCUUUAUUCUGUCCCUGCUGAUUUUAGAGGUCCCCGGCAUUUAAAAAGAGGAAGGGUUGAAUGCAUAAUGUCAGUGCAUUCUCCAAAUGAAUUUACUACUUGGUCAGGAAGUAACUGUUCAAACAAUUUAGCUUUUAAAACCAGUGAUCUCUCAAGAAUAUGGGUUCAUGCGUCAUUUUUAUUCCCCUUGCUGCCCUCAGUGGUUGAGGUGGGUAAUUGUUUGUUGGAUGGGCGUCUCUGUGUGUGUUCGUAUGUGUGUGGUUUUAUUAGUUUACUCUUAGUCCAGUAGUCUUUAGUCUUAGUCCAGUAAGAAAUUACUUUUGCCUAAUAAAUAUCUUUGAGUACUACACGUUGCUGUUGGGCUGGUGCAGUGAUGUGUCAUCACAACCUUGCUAACCCUGAUGGAUUUGGUUUCCUCUCGGAGAUCUCACAAUAAUUUGCCGAUUUUUUUUUUCCAAGUUCCAGCCCCUGGACUCACAUGAACAUAUGAGAGCCCUAUUAUUAGUUUUAUUGCAUUUGGUUAUGGCUGCUGGUUUGGCAGAGGGAAAACUGGGAAAUCUAACCCUGAUUUAUGAUUAAUGUAUUUUAAAAAAGGAAUAAAAAACAGAUAAAGAAAAGCAUUUAGAGUGUAUUGGUUUUGAGAUAUUUCGGAGGUGAUCUAGCUUUAAGGGAGCAUGAUAACUCAAUUUUUCAACAUCUGAGGUUUGCUGUCUUGUUGCUUAGUGACGGCAAAAACUGUUGUCCCUCUUGCAGGCUCUGGUUUCUGUCCUGAGUGCUGUGCAGCGAUUAGAGCUGCGGGGCUGUGCUAACUAUAAUUAUCUUUAAACAAAUGCAGAUAGCAGGCCUGGAGUGGGAGAUACUUAGAUAACAUGCAAGUGACUGCAAUAAUGGCUAUUCUUCUGGGAAAUGCAGCCAAACUGCAACUCUGUGCCCAGAGAAUAGCUCUGUGUACGUGUUAGGAAUUGCCAAAGCUGAGAGCGGAUGACAGAAUCCUCCACACUUAAAUAUAUUCUUUUCCAGAACAUGUGCACCUGUGUUUAUUUUCUUACCACGAAAGCAAACUUGGGAACAUGGCCCAUAGCAGCACUACCUAUCAAUGCGUGCCAUCAUACUUUCACCUGCCAUUUCUUUAUGAGCUUGAUCCUAUGAAUCUUACCAUUGAAUUAAACUGGGAAUUUCAUCUUCCCAUCCCACUAAGACAGAGUUGCCCAUAUAACUGUCUAACUGGAAAAUGGCCUGGCUGACUGUAUUUCACAGGAUUCUCUGUGCCCAUGCAGAUGGCAAGAGGCUUUGGCUGGAAGCUAAAAGACAUUUAUUUGAAGGAUUUUCUGAAAAUAUGAACAUAUUCUAAUAGCUAGACUUGUAAAAGCAAAGCUUUCAUGUUUGAGAAAUACAUUUUUGAGUGGUAGAGAAUGAUGAAAAUAUUAUAUUUAUUACCAAAUGCUUCUGAAAGACUUAAUACUCAUGAAACCAGCAGUGUGCCAGAGACAAUGAAGGGGAUCCUGUGGUGGGUCUCUGCACGUUUCCUUGCAAAGCAAUGCCAAAGCUCCUUAAUCCUGAUCUUAAUUAUUUCAGUGGAAGGCAUUUGCUGAACAAAGAACUGCGACUGUGUCAAAUCCGUGCACUGAGGUUUGUGAGGAGGUCAAAAUAUCCAGCCAGGGUGGAACUGGGGUCCACCAACACCAUAGCAUUGUGGCUGGGCUUGUAAGAUUUUAAGUGAAAGGCCUGACCCAUGCAGCUCUUCCUGCGGGAGCCAGGCACUUGACCCCCCAGCAAACUGUAAUGAAACUAAAGCUUCCUUGUCCCUGCCCUGCUUACGUGUUCUUAAAAGCUUAUUACACAGCUGGCAGUCUGAGAAGGGAUACGUACACACAAUUUCAUUCUGCCUCCUCAUGUUCACACGAUUUAAUUUUUCCUAAGCUAGCCAGCCAGUGCGUUCACUCACUUUUUCUACAGAAGUAUGUGCUAUGCAGAUGAAAAAAAAAUUUUUUUGCAAGUUUUUGUGAACAGCUCCUCAGAUAAGCGUUGGCCUCCUACAUGCUGAGACCCAUUCUUUGCUAUUUCUUGCACCCUUCUAAGGUUCCUCUGUAAGGUUUGUGUUGGUGGCAUUUUACAGCUCUGUGCCACCAGCUGCAUUGCGUGCUGUGAUCUGGCUUUUUGUCUCUUUGCUUCGAUGACUUGAAACUUUUGAACUGGAGUGAACUGACUACCAGCCGCUGGAUAUGAAGCAGUCUUGCUCACUCACAAAUAACUGUAUUUUUGUUCAACUAAAAGUACUGCUCUGAAAGUGAGUCUUGUGCGCUUGAACUUACUGAAACCCGAAGGAUGGGUAGCUACAAAUGUGAUAUGCAGUAUGGCCUAAGGAUUAACUGUGGGGACUUUGAUGUAUUAGUCUAAUUAAAGAUAAUAAAUGCGGUACACUUAUUUAUGUAUAACAAUAUGUACUCUUCUGAAAGGCCCUUUGAUGUUUUGGAGUGGGCUGGUCUUUUUGCUGAAUGUGUAUGUGUAGAGCAGCAUGUGAACGGCUGGCUGGGUGAAUUUUGGGGUUAUUCACUAUUUCACUGCCUUCUUGAGGGAAAAAUCUCAGUGGCCAAGUAUCCCGGUUUGUCUGGCAUGGGUGACUGCUUCUGUUUGCAAGCUACCUUGACUUCCUAAGGAUUUCUCUCUUGCAAUUGUUAAGCAUAAUAAACAUUCCCGCCCCUUCCCAAUGCCUCAAAUCCAACAAACGCAAUGCAGAAAAGAGCUUAAGUCCUUUCUAAUGAGAAGCAGCCAGGAAUCAUGCUGGCAAGUCAGCCCCUUGAGAACAGGCUGUUCUCUGCACUCAGAUGCUUCAUAGAUCAGAAUUUUGCUUCUUCAUCCUGAAAAAAAGUCUCAACCAAGCAGAAUUUGCUGCUCUGAAAUUCUGAGCAGACAGAAACCAUAACCACUUCAAAAUCUAGCAGAGUUUGUACAUAUAUGGGGAUUGUGAAUAUAUCUAGGCUGUGCACCAUUGGUUUGUCUUCCAACUAGAAAUUAAUGCAAUUACCUGACAGCACAACAGUUGUUUCUUAAAAAAACCCCAACCAACCAAACCAAAACCAUUUGUGACUGUUAUGUCUGCCCAUGCAGUGCCACGCAACCCAAAGCAGUCUGGCAGCUGGCUGGUGGCUGGCUUGGCUCUGCUGGGAAUGUAGCAGAGGAGCUCACUUCAACCGACAAAAACUUGAGGUUCUAGGUGGCCCUUUAAUUGUGGUUUCUUGAAAGCAUUAGGGGUUUGGAGUCUUGCUUCUCACAAAGGGCCUUCAUCAUAAAUGUGUAUAACUGAGGGGUGAUAUCAUGCUUAGUGAACAUUCGAAUUUGUGUUAUGUCCUAAAGCCCUUGGACUUAGCAGUAGUGAAGUUAUGGCUGUGAGCUGUUGUCUGGGAAGGACAGUAGUGAUUCGCUUUACAGAGAAGACACGUGGUGCGGUUAGCUAACCACCUUCUCCUGGGGAGCCUGGGGGAACUCGGCACGGACACCACGCUACUGUCCAGGAGACCCUGGGCUUCCUGGGACCAGUGAAGCGUGAAUCUGAGUCUUUGCAGGCUUCUCUGCCAUACUUUGUUUCUCUGCUGUGUGCAGACUGUGGCCCAAACUUGGGGAAAUGCUCCUUCUUUAUCGCCUGGCUUUUCUUCACUAAGUAAACUUGUGUUGAAACAUCCGAUCGUUUCAUUCCAACUUUAGAGCUUGCUGCUGGGAGACGGGAAUGGACAGUACCCCAGCAGGCUGCUGGAGGGCCUGCUUCACCACAGCAUGAACACACACAAACAUACAUGUGGAUAACUGGCUAGCUGAAAAGGGUCACAUAGACAUAGUCCAGCUGGCUGGACAAAAAUGCACAUCGCUCUCAGCUUAUCUGAAGUAAAGCAAAAAUACACUAUCCUUGGCUGUUCUUGUUACACAAUAACAGGAAGAUUUUGGUGGGAAAAGAAUGUUGCAGGUGGGAACAGAAAACUACAGAAGAGAAACUAGGGGCAGGCUUGAUAUUUAGGCAACUAACCAAUAAUGAGCUUAACUUUUGUAAUACGUAUGAGCUAA
Long non-coding RNA from Falco peregrinus (peregrine falcon), 10027 nucleotides. RefSeq lists it as uncharacterized. Lineage: Eukaryota; Metazoa; Chordata; Aves; Falconiformes; Falconidae. The record is from RefSeq and is a predicted model, not a curated record. The transcript is spliced from 4 exons.